UACUUCAUUUUCACUACAAGAAAUGCGCUGUUUACCGAAGGAUUAUUAUCGAAGACCUUUUGGCCGUCGGUAAAAAACAUUUACCGAAGGAUUAUCCCGACGGUCAUGUAGGAUGGUGUUUACCGAAGGUUUUUGCCCUUCGGUAUUGGGCAGCGAAUUUACCGAAGGCUUUUGCCUGUCGGUAUAAACAUUCACUUAAUGAAAUCAGAAUUUGGGAUUUCCCUCUUCCAUUUUCCCAAAUACUCUACUUGCGAAAGCUUCCCCCAAACUUCCCCCCGAUUUCCAUUCUCCCUCUCCCUAAUCUCUGUUUCCCUCUCUCGUUCACAAUCCGC
This 332-nucleotide long non-coding RNA is filed under the name Vigna radiata. Its description in RNAcentral is "long non-coding RNA (VRAD_LNC014086)". Lineage: Eukaryota; Viridiplantae; Streptophyta; Magnoliopsida; Fabales; Fabaceae. The record is from RNAcentral.